AUAUUGCGCAAUGGGCGAAAGCCUGACGCAGCAACGCCGCGUGAUCGAUGACGCUUUAAGGAGUGUAAAGAUCUGUCCUAAGGGAAGAAUGGUUUCAAGUCGAAUAGGCUUGAUUCGUGACGGUACCUUAGAAGAAAGCGCCGGCUAACUUCGUGCCAGCAGCCGCGGUAAUACGAGGGGCGCAAGCGUUGUCCAGAUUCAUUGGGUGUAAAGGGUGCGUAGGUGGAUCAGUAAGUUGGAAUUUAAAGCCCGCAGCUUAACUGCGGAUCUGGUUUCAAAACUGCUGGUCUUGAGUUCGAAAGAGGGGAGUGGAAUUCCUAGUGUAGCGGUGGAAUGCGUAGAUAUUAGGAGGAACACCAGUGGCGAAGGCGGCUCUCUGGUUCGAUACUGACACUAAGGCACGAAAGCGUGGGGAGCGAACAGGAUUAGAUACCCGUGUAGUC
Molecule: ribosomal RNA, 443 nt
Filed under: uncultured bacterium
Lineage: Bacteria
Description: partial 16S ribosomal RNA
Rfam family: Bacterial small subunit ribosomal RNA
Source: RNAcentral